RNAcentral lists this ribosomal RNA (737 nucleotides) under Benthochromis sp. J78. RNAcentral describes it as "partial 16S ribosomal RNA". The stretch from base 186 to 737 matches the Rfam family "Bacterial large subunit ribosomal RNA", at positions 566 to 1335 of the family's 2925-position model. The record is from RNAcentral. Lineage: Eukaryota; Metazoa; Chordata; Actinopteri; Cichliformes; Cichlidae.
CGCCCAGCAGCUAGCCCCCCCAUCAACCCCAACCCCUCCCUAUUUAUAACCCCAAACACACUAUCCUAUCGAUAACAAACCAUUUUUCCACCUAAGUACGGGCGACGAAAAAGGACCUAAGAGCAACAGAGAAAGUACCGUAAGGGAAAGCUGAAAGAGUAGUGAAACAAUCCAGUAAAGCACUAAAAAGCAGAGACCGUCCCUCGUACCUUUUGCAUCAUGAUUUAGCCAGAAAACCUCAAGCAAAAAGCAUUAUGUUUGAUACCCCGAAACUAGGCGAGCUACUCCAAGGCAGUCUAAUUUAUAGGACCCCCCCGUCUCUGUGGCAAAAGAGUGGGAAGAACUUCGAGUAGAGGUGACAGACCUACCGAGCCUAGUUAUAGCUGGUUGCCUGAGAACUGAAUAAAAGUUCAGCCCUUUAAAUUCUUCAUUCCUAUUGGCCCAAGGCCUUCACACCGAACAAAAGAAAUUAAAAGAGUUAGUCAAAGGGGGUACAGCCCCUUUGAAACAAGGUACAACUUUCCAAGGAGGGUAAAAAUCACAACGAACUUAAAGGUUAAGUGUUCUAGUGGGCCUAAAAGCAGCCACCUAUCCAGAAAGCGUUAAAGCUCAAACAUUGCCCAACAGCCUUCUAAUAAAGACAACACAAUUUCACCCCCCUAAACCUACCAGGCCGUUCCAUAAAACUAUGGAAGCGUUUAUGCUAAUAUGAGUAAUAAGAGGACCCCCCCCCCUCC